Molecule: long non-coding RNA, 345 nt
Organism: Periophthalmus magnuspinnatus
Lineage: Eukaryota; Metazoa; Chordata; Actinopteri; Gobiiformes; Gobiidae
Exons: 3
Source: RefSeq, a predicted model, not a curated record
GACCGAUUGCUGCUCGUAAAGGUGCACUAAGUAACUUUCCUGUCUAGUGAAAUUAUAUUGGUUUUCCUGCAGUGUUCCACAGUCAGGGCUGGACUGGGAGAAGAAAUGGGCCCUGGACUUUUUGUUCUGUAGUGUUUGAGAGCUUCAGGCAGCUCCAGCCAGUCUAUGGCCAUCCUGUGGACAAUGUGCUUCUGAAUGGCUUUCCUACACAGCGUCUGUAAGGAGGAGACUGCAGAAGGCAUAACACAUGAAGGCUGAUUAUUAAAGUUGCAGCAAACACAUCCACCACGGCAUACAGCGGCUGGAUGGUUGGGAUGCCCCUGGCUGAGGCGCCCAUGUCCUCUC